This 21-nucleotide non-coding RNA is filed under the name Caenorhabditis elegans. The record is from RNAcentral. Lineage: Eukaryota; Metazoa; Nematoda; Chromadorea; Rhabditida; Rhabditidae.
UCACAAAAAGUGUAAACAUGC